RNAcentral lists this ribosomal RNA (460 nucleotides) under uncultured bacterium. Its description in RNAcentral is "partial 16S ribosomal RNA". It matches the Rfam family "Bacterial small subunit ribosomal RNA", at positions 338 to 795 of the family's 1533-position model. The record is from RNAcentral.
CCUACGGGAGGCAGCAGUGAGGAAUAUUGGUCAAUGGACGAGAGUCUGAACCAGCCAAGUAGCGUGAAGGAUGACUGCCCUAUGGGUUGUAAACUUCUUUUAUAUGGGAAUAAAAUGUUCCACGUGUGGGAUUUUGUAUGUACCAUAUGAAUAAGGAUCGGCUAACUCCGUGCCAGCAGCCGCGGUAAUACGGAGGAUCCGAGCGUUAUCCGGAUUUAUUGGGUUUAAAGGGAGCGUAGGUGGAUUGUUAAGUCAGUUGCGAAAGUUUGCGGCUCAACCGUAAAAUUGCAGUUGAAACUGGCAGUCUUGAGUACAGUAGAGGUGGGCGGAAUUCGUGGUGUAGCGGUGAAAUGCUUAGAUAUCACGAAGAACUCCGAUUGCGAAGGCAGCUCACUGGACUGCAACUGACACUGAGGCUCGAAAGUGUGGGUAUCAAACAGGAUUAGAUACCCCAGUAGUC